Molecule: non-coding RNA, 3193 nt
Organism: Cricetulus griseus (Chinese hamster)
Lineage: Eukaryota; Metazoa; Chordata; Mammalia; Rodentia; Cricetidae
Source: RefSeq, a predicted model, not a curated record
UAGAAGGAUCCACAUGUAGUCUAGGGGGUGCGAGAGACCCCUCAACAAGAGACCUAGCUCUUUAGCCCCUCUAUGCUUGCCCUCCUCCCAACCAAACCUGAGGGAAUAAUUAAAUAUACAGAGACCAAGAGAAGGCAGAGAGGGACCUUCGAAACUGAGUUCAGAAGAAAUGGCAAGAUAGUUCCGCAGGUAAAGGCACUUGUUGCCAAGUCUGACCACACAAGUUUCAUCGCCUGAACCUACAUGGUAUAAAACCAUGUACUCACAGCCACUAACUUUGACCUCAGCCUGGUCCUGACUGUGUUUCAUCAGGUAAUUAUCUUGAGCAAGAUGCUAGGAGAGCAUUCUAGUUAUCCCAGGGCAUUUGGCCACUCCCCCACAGACCCCUGAGGGAAGCAUGGGCACAAUGGCACCAAACAUGGUGAAGGCACCCAAGAAGAAAACCACUCAAAGAGAACCAGUCAUUCUUAGCCUUAGCCAGUCAUUCUAACUCCUCAUCAGUGAAAGGGGAUUCAUAGCAACAGGGAGGGGCUGGGGCAUGGCUCUGGAGAGAGUGUGUUUAGCAGGCACUGGGCCUGGGAUACAUCUCUAGCUCCAAGAAAAAUAGCAAUAGAAAAGCUUGUGUCCAGUGAUGUUUACCACACACAAAAAAAAAACUGUUUUUGGUGUGUUGUGUGUUUUACCUUGUAAUUUACUGAAUCACUGCUGCCCCUAAAGGUGGGUGUUGUUCUUCUCAUGUUGUGAGUGACCACCAAUGUUAAGGUUAAGAUCCACAGGUUCAAGAAAGGCCACCUGACUUGAACACCCUAUAGCAGUGGUUCUCAACCUAUGGGUAGUGACCCCCUUGGGGUGGCAUAUCAUAUAUUCUGCAUAUCAGAUAUUUACAUUACAAUUUAUAACAGUAGCAAAAUUACAGUUAUGAAGUAGCGACAAAAUAAUUGUACGGUUAGGGGUCACCACAACAUGAGGAACUGUAUUAUAGUGUUAGAGCCUAGGGUGAUUUCAGGAUUGAGGGAGGCAGUGCAUGGCCCUCACCAUAUGAGAGGGACUGUCUCUAUGCUCUAUGGUGCUGUUGACCUCCACCAGUCCUAACCCAAAUGUCAGCCGUUACUAUGUCCCGGCAUUGCAGAGUACUGCCAGUUGUGAGUACAGCCUGGGGCUCUAGGGAACACAUCUGAUUUUUGUUCUGACAAAAAAGACACACAUGAGGACAUGGUGUGGACAUCUCAAAGGGGUGUCACUGUCACAUGAGCAUGUUUUACCCCGUGAGACAGUCCCUCCCCAGGCUGCACUGGAGAGUUAUGAAGGGGAGGGUGCAGCAAUCUGCUGAGUCUGGGGCCACCCAGGUCAUAGGACUGCCUGCUGCAAUAUGGCCCUCGGCUGGACCCAGUGCUCAGUGACAAGCUUACCUUCUUGCCCCUGCAAAUAAUUCCUUGAGGAAGCAGAUGGAAGGGCAGUGAGGCUGAGGAGGAAGCGAGAGGUGAGGGGACUUGUGUUAAAACAAACUGCAAGUGCCAAUAACAACUGAGGUGAGUUGCCAACAUUUGUGAACUUCCCUUAAGACCUGCAUUCCAGCUGUCCUCUGCAAGCCUCUGGGGGCUGGGAAGAGGGAGUGUGCCUCUGUGAGGCAUAAGAACAAGGACUGGGCCGCUGUCCAAUCCCAGCUGUGUCACUCUGUGUGUUCUUGGCUGAGUAACUUCACCUCUCUGUGUUCUGGUUCCUUCAGGUGCACAAUGAAGAUAAUAAGAGUCCUUGCUUCAGAACUGUCGUGAAGAUUGCCUGAGAACACAGCUUGAGGAUACUCUAGGGCAAGUGUGGUAAGAUGGCUCAGCAGGAAAAGGUGCUUGCACUACAAGCCUGGAAAUCUGAGUUCAAUCCCUGGAACCCAGGCAUGGAUGGGCCUCUCUGGUCAGAGGUGUGAGGGAGAUCAGAGAAGGAGUGUGCUGGCUGGCUGGCAGAGUAUGGGCACCCUCUGACAUUCUCCAGCACAGCCAGCUUGGCCCAAGUAGGUCAGGGCAGUUUCCUGGCCUGUAGCCUGAGUUCCCUCCCACUCACUUGUAUUUAUGGCCAAGAUCUGCCUGGAGCCCUCUUACCUUCAAAGGCUGAGGACACUGCUUGCUCAGACUCUACUCAAGGACUCUGCAGGGCAGGGCAGGGCAGGGCAGGGCAGGGCUGGAUGGCUUCCUGAGGGUACAGCUGACUUGGAUGGCCCACAGAGAGCUCAGCCCUGGGCAAGCCAUUUUGGGCAGGGACUGCACCUGUAAGCUCCACCCUGCAGUUUCUGUCCCACCUGCCCCAUCUUUUCUUUAGAAGUCAGAGCAGCAUAGAGUGGACUCAGCCUACAAGCUGCACAACUGCAUCUGUGGUAUGGGAUUCCUUGGCUAGCCUCAGCCUCUGGGUACCCAACUCACUCCCACUGGCUACUAAGAGGAAGAAACAACACUUCACCCUUCUGCCUUCUCUAGAAUCUUCUAUGCAUGACACACCUCUCAGGCCCUGAAAACGCAUACAUUACCCAAGCUGGUGGCCAAGACUCCUCUUGUUAUGGGAUCAAGAAAGGUAAAGUUCCCUGCUGCAGCUCUGCUAAGGCCUGCAGGGUUGACCUGAAGAAGCAGUUUGUGCCCAGGGCUAAUAAAUUAUGAUUCCCUGGUUCCUGAAUGCUCUUGUAAGCACACCUCAGCAUCGGCGUUCCUGGGCACCUCCACUUGUGUAUAAGCACAGACAAACGUGCAUACCACAUGGGGAUCAGUGCAUACAUGUAGAAUUCUGCUUCCCCAUCGUGUCUAUGCUCCUGACUGCAUGUACCUACUUCAAUAGACAACAGCUCUCAAACACUGUGUCCCUGUCUACACUUAGACCCUGGAUGUACAGCUGUGUGCGCAUUGCUCUCUGUUGCUUCACUGGCAGUGAGUCUUAAAUCGUGUAUGUUUUUACAUUUCCUUCUCCUAGAGCAUACUUGGUAUUUGCUAUCAUUGUAUAUAGUUUUAUAUCAAGCCUAAACCUUCUCAUUUAGACUAAAAGGGGAAUUGUAGCAAUAUAUUUGCCUGUGAACCUGUAACAAUGGCCAUGCCUUUUCAGUUAAAGGGAGAGGAUAAGGAGGCAGGGUCUACAUCAUUGGAGCAGGAACACCACGACAGCCACUUACUUUUUUCUGUGUAAGUUCUUUCCCUAAUAAAACUCCACUUAUCAUUUA